RNAcentral lists this unclassified non-coding RNA (3207 nucleotides) under Stylophora pistillata. RNAcentral describes it as "uncharacterized LOC111324498, transcript variant X3". The record is from RNAcentral. Lineage: Eukaryota; Metazoa; Cnidaria; Anthozoa; Scleractinia; Pocilloporidae.
UCUGACGUCUCAGCGAAAACUACUUAGAGCGGUUGCAGAAAAUUAAGAGCAGCGAUAGUACUUGAGAUAUCCUUAAGUAAAAAAAUUAUAUUGGCCUUGGAAGCUGCACUCAAGGAAAUCUGUGUGUGCAUUCGACGUUUUAUCUUCGGCUUAGUCUUGACGACUGAGGUCUUCAUAUCUUCGAAGCAGCUUCGUGAAAAUGAUCAUGUGGGGUUUGGUGGCUGUUGUUUCAUAUCUUCUUGUUUAUGAAGGAUUUGGGGCUAUUGAAAGACAUCGAAAGCCAGGACCUGAUGAAAUAGAACGAGUGAUAAAUGUUACUCAUUCCUCUUUCUGGAAAUGUUCAAUGUUACAAUGCCCAACAGGACAUGGAUCAACUGUGCCCUGUGCUACCAGUGUCUCAAUCAGUACACCAAUCAUGUGUGUGCCUUGUAUUGGUGGGGUAAAUUUUUCCGACAUUGAUGAUUACACCCCUUGCAAAAGUUGUCGUAACUGUGACAAGAAUGAAGAAAGGUCUGGAGAAUGUACCCUUGAGUCAGAUACCACAGUGUGUCUAGGAACAUGUUACAAAGGCUUCUAUAUGGAUAAAAUCUCUGGUGGAUGUCAUAAGUGCAGUGCCUGUUGCGGGCAUGAUGAGAAACAUCAUGAAAAACAGUGUGAAAAUUCUGGGCUUUCAAGGAGCAUGCAAUGCAGGCAAAAUCAUAUCGAGUGUCCUAAAAAACACACCAAAAACAACACUGACAUGGAUCAGCACAAAAGGGGCCUUACUGGGCCAACAAUUGUGGGCAUCGUGGUUGGUCUUGUUUUCUCUUUCGUGGUUGGUGUCUGUGUGAUCAUCUGGUGUCGUCGUAACAGGGACUCUGAAUGUAUGAGUUCACUUACUGUAUAUUUUCACAGUUCAGACACCCACCCCCACAAUUCUGAGUAUUGCCGUGGGCUGAGUACAGGGCAAAUGGUUCAACUUCAAUUUAAAGAGACUACAGGAGGUACCCUUAAGUCAGGAAAGAAGCCAGUGUACCAACGGGUGAAGUCAGUUCCUGUUGAAACCAGACAAGAGCCAGUAAAGAAAAUUCCUAGGUCACAUUCACACCCAGGAGCUCUUCCCAAAAUCCUAAACAAAAAGCAGGGAACAUCUAAUCUCAGAAAAGAUCCUUCACCACAGAUCAGGAGUCUAAGGAACAAAAAAUGGGUCAAGCAAGGAUAUAUUCCUGUGCCAACAAUUCAGUUCCCUGCAUUUAAGGAGGAUGAAGCCAUUGAGCAUUCUUCAAAUCCAGGCCCAUUAAUAGAUCCUCUGCCAACUCCUUCACAAUUUGGACACAAUGUGGAAGACAUCCCACAGAUUUCCCUGCAAUCUGUUGAUGUUAGAUUGCAACAACCUAGGCUUGAGAAAAAUUCUACAUCCACUUCGACAACAGGGCUUUUUAACCCAACUGCAACUGUCCCACAAAUUUCUGACAUACCUCAAGAAUUCCUGGACUAUAUCCUCAGUAAAAAAGUGACCAAAAUAGGCAUUCAGUUUUAUAGCAAGAUUUGUCAGACACUGGACAUUUUGCGGGAUAUACAGGGGGAUGAUUUCCGCCAGCUUGGUGAAAAAGUUGGUAUAGACAAGGUUGCCAUCUCGUGGUUGAAACAAAGAGGUAACCCCACAGAGGAAAUCUUAAAGCAAUUUGAUUCAAAGAGAGAAAACUGUGUGGGCAGAUUUAAAAGCAUUCUAGAAGAAAUGGGACGAGAUGAUGUGGUUAUAAUAAUUGAGAAUUGGAUUCGGUUUGAGUGGCAAGAAAACAUCAAGUCUCAGACUGUUUAAAUGUUAGGUCUCAGACGUAGUUGUGACCUCCAUCCAACUCUCAAGAAUGAUCUAGAGGAACAUAAAUUAUGAGACAUCUGAUAGGUUAUAUUUUGUUCAUAGAUUACUAUCAGUGAUAGCUAUCAACCUUUUUACUGGUUGCAGUAAAGACGACAAGCAGGUAUAAUCUUAGCUGGCAUAAAAAACUGCUUGAUAUGUAUUUUAAUUUCUUAUCAGCCUGGGCCUAGUUGUUCAAAGGAUGGAUAACACUAUUCAAAGAUAAACUGAUAUCUAGCAGAUAAGUAUUAACAAAAUGCAGCCACGAUCCAUCAGAUAGUGAUUUAUCCAGUGGAUAGCGUUAUCCACCUUACAAUCAACUGGGGUCUGUGCCCUACAACAAUGUGUGCAGGAGAAGCUUGCUCUAUAUAAUUACUGGCAAGAAAUGAUUAUGUUAUUCUUGUUAUUGUUGUUAGAAAUAUUACUUCUCAAAUAUUUAUUCCAAUUUUUUGCUUAACUUUUAUUUAAAUGAAAGCUCAAAGAACUUUCUUAUCAUUAGUUAUUGUAAAUAGAAGGAGCAGUAAAUUUUUGCAAUAAUUGUAUAGUUUCUAUAAUUUGAGAUGUUCUUCUCUUUAUGCACAGAUGUUUCACUUACGGUACAAGUGAUGAAUGAUGAGUGAAACAAUAAACUUAGAAUUUUUCUACUUUUAAGGUGGCUAGAAUUUUCGAAAAAGAUAGUAAACUGAAGCUUGACUAUUUGUGGUGAAUAGUUUUCACUCAUGUAUUUAAGAGCCCCUCUUUGGGUGAACAAUUUUUUGUGCCAUAGAUAUGUAAGACUUUUGAUAAUGAUAAAUUUUGUGCCUAUUAUAACUGUACAAGGCAAGAGCUACUGGUAUUUAAGAGCAUUCACGAUAAGUAAAUAUUGCACCUAAUAUAACUUUACAAGGCAAAGAACUUAGUGAGGAAAUGGUGAUGCCAGAUAGUACAAUUUUUGUUUUUUGUAAUGCAGAUUUACCAAUAUGUAUAAACCUAACUCGUGGACAUUGCGGUAGUCAGAAAGUAAUAGGGUAUCUAGGAUGGGGCAUGGCAUUUUAUGUCUGUUUCCAUCUUUUAAGCCUCUUCCUAGCAAAUUAAGUAAGAGGUUUAACAAAUAUGUAAAAUCUGGCAGCUUUGAAUAUAUAUCUUCAACUAAGUUCUAUCUCUUGUUUUUGUCAAGAAAAAUAAUUUUAUUUGGUUAUAUUCAAAAUUUUGGAACACUUGUAGCUAUCUUUAGAUAAGAAAAUAAUUAUAUGAACUUGUAAAAACAUUUGCACUUUAAAUUCAUGCUCUAACUGUGUGAGUCCUUUAGUCUACAUGUUAUAGUAGACAUAACAUGUUAACUCUGUUAAAUUUGUAAAACUUAUGAAAAAUACAGUACCACUGAAAUAUUA